RNAcentral lists this ribosomal RNA (253 nucleotides) under uncultured bacterium. RNAcentral describes it as "partial 16S ribosomal RNA". It matches the Rfam family "Bacterial small subunit ribosomal RNA", at positions 524 to 776 of the family's 1533-position model. The record is from RNAcentral.
UACGUAGGGUGGCAAGCGUUUGUCCGGAAUUAUUGGGCGUAAAGCGCGCGCAGGCGGCCUUUUAAGUCUGAUGUGAAAGCCCACGGCUCAACCGUGGAAGGUCAUUGGAAACUGAAAGGCUUGAGUCAGAAGAGGAAAGCGGAAUUCCACGUGUAGCGGUGAAAUGCGUAGAGAUGUGGAGGAACACCAGUGGCGAAGGCGGCUUUCUGGACGGUAACUGACGCUGAGACGCGAAACGUGGGGAGCAAACAGG